This 501-nucleotide ribosomal RNA is filed under the name uncultured bacterium. Its description in RNAcentral is "partial 16S ribosomal RNA". It matches the Rfam family "Bacterial small subunit ribosomal RNA", at positions 29 to 523 of the family's 1533-position model. The record is from RNAcentral.
AUUGAACGCUGGCGGCAUGCCUUACACAUGCAAGUCGAACGGCAGCACGGGUGCUUGCACCUGGUGGCGAGUGGCGAACGGGUGAGUAAUACAUCGGAACGUACCUUAUCGUGGGGGAUAACGCAGCGAAAGCUGUGCUAAUACCGCAUACGCCCUGAGGGGGAAAGCGGGGGAUCGAAAGACCUCGCGCGAUUAGAGCGGCCGAUGCCUGAUUAGCUUGUUGGUGGGGUAAAAGCCCACCAAGGCGACGAUCAGUAGCUGGCCUGAGAGGACGAUCAGCCACACUGGGACUGGGACACGGCCCAGACUCCUACGGGAGGCAGCAGUGGGGAAUUUUGGACAAUGGGGGCAACCCUGAUCCAGCAAUGCCGCGUGAGUGAAGAAGGCCUUCGGGUUGUAAAGCUCUUUUGUCAGGGAAGAAACACCGGCUCUAACACAGUCCGGGAAUGACGGUACCUGAAGAAUAAGCACCGGCUAACUACGUGCCAGCAGCCGCGGUAA